UACGGAGGGUGCAAGCGUUAUCCGGAUUUAUUGGGUUUAAAGGGUCCGCAGGCGGACUUGUAAGUCAGGGGUGAAAGCCGGCAGCUCAACUGUCGAACUGCCUUUGAUACUGCAAGUCUUGAGUGAGGUUGAAGUAGCUAGAAUGAGUAGUGUAGCGGUGAAAUGCAUAGAUAUUACUCAGAAUACCAAUUGCGAAGGCAGGUUACUAAGUCUUAACUGACGCUGAGGGACGAAAGCGUGGGGAGCGAACAGG
RNAcentral lists this ribosomal RNA (253 nucleotides) under uncultured bacterium. RNAcentral describes it as "partial 16S ribosomal RNA". It matches the Rfam family "Bacterial small subunit ribosomal RNA", at positions 524 to 776 of the family's 1533-position model. The record is from RNAcentral.